GAAUUCGCCCUUAGAGUUUGAUCCUGGCUCAGGACGAACGCUGGCGGCGCGCCUAACACAUGCAAGUCGAACGAGCGAGAGAGAGCUUGCUUUCUCGAGCGAGUGGCGAACGGGUGAGUAACGCGUGAGGAACCUGCCUCAAAGAGGGGGACAACAGUUGGAAACGACUGCUAAUACCGCAUAAGCCCACGACCCGGCAUCGGGAAGAGGGAAAAGGAGCAAUCCGCUUUGAGAUGGCCUCGCGUCCGAUUAGCUAGUUGGUGAGGUAACGGCCCACCAAGGCAACGAUCGGUAGCCGGACUGAGAGGUUGAACGGCCACAUUGGGACUGAGACACGGCCCAGACUCCUACGGGAGGCAGCAGUGGGGAAUAUUGCACAAUGGGGGAAACCCUGAUGCAGCGACGCCGCGUGGAGGAAGAAGGUCUUCGGAUUGUAAACUCCUGUUGUUGAGGAAGAUAAUGACGGUACUCAACAAGGAAGUGACGGCUAACUACGUGCCAGCAGCCGCGGUAAAACGUAGGUCACAAGCGUUGUCCGGAAUUACUGGGUGUAAAGGGAGCGCAGGCGGGAAGACAAGUUGGAAGUGAAAUCCAUGGGCUCAACCCAUGAACUGCUUUCAAAACUGUUUUUCUUGAGUAGUGCAGAGGUAGGCGGAAUUCCCGGUGUAGCGGUGGAAUGCGUAGAUAUCGGGAGGAACACCAGUGGCGAAGGCGGCCUACUGGGCACCAACUGACGCUGAGGCUCGAAAGUGUGGGUAGCAAACAGGAUUAGAUACCCUGGUAGUCCACACUGUAAACGAUGAUUACUAGGUGUUGGAGGAUUGACCCCUUCAGUGCCGCAGUUAACACAAUAAGUAAUCCACCUGGGGAGUACGACCGCAAGGUUGAAACUCAAAGGAAUUGACGGGGGCCCGCACAAGCAGUGGAGUAUGUGGUUUAAUUCGACGCAACGCGAAGAACCUUACCAAGUCUUGACAUCCUGCGACGGACAUAGAAAUAUGUUUUUCCUUCGGGACGCAGAGACAGGUGGUGCAUGGUUGUCGUCAGCUCGUGUCGUGAGAUGUUGGGUUAAGUCCCGCAACGAGCGCAACCCCUAUCCUCAGUAGCCAGCAUUUAAGGUGGGCACUCUGGGGAGACUACCAGGGAUAACCUGGAGGAAGGCGGGGAUGACGUCAAAUCAUCAUGCCCCUUAUGAUUUGGGCUACACACGUGCUACAAUGGCGUAAACAAAGGGAAGCGAGAUUGUGAGAUGGAGCAAAUCCCAAAAAUAACGUCCCAGUUCGGACUGUAGUCUGCAACCCGACUACACGAAGCUGGAAUCGCUAGUAAUCGCGGAUCAGAAUGCCGCGGUGAAUACGUUCCCGGGCCUUGUACUCACCGCCCGUCA
This 1387-nucleotide ribosomal RNA is filed under the name uncultured bacterium. RNAcentral's name for it is "bacterial SSU rRNA". It matches the Rfam family "Bacterial small subunit ribosomal RNA". The record is from RNAcentral.